Molecule: ribosomal RNA, 497 nt
Filed under: uncultured bacterium
Lineage: Bacteria
Description: partial 16S ribosomal RNA
Rfam family: Bacterial small subunit ribosomal RNA
Source: RNAcentral
GAUGAACGCUGGCGGCGUGCCUAAUACAUGCAAGUCGAGCGAACAGACGAGGAGCUUGCUCCUCUGACGUUAUCGGCGGACGGGUGAGUAACACGUGGAUAACCUACCUAUAAGACUGGGGUAACUUUGGGAAACCGGAGCUAAUACCGGAAAAUAUAUUGCACCUCGUGGUUCCAUAGUGAAAGUCGGUUUUUGUGUCACUUAUAGAUGGAUCCGCGCCGCAUUCGCUGGUUGGUAGGGUAACGGCUUACCAAGGCGAGGACGGGUACCCGACCUAAGCGGGAGAUCGGACAGACUGGCACUGAGGCUCGUCCCAGACUCUGAGGGGAGGACACGGUAGGGAAUCCUCCGGGAUGGGGGAGAGCGUAACGGAGCAACACCGGGGGAGGCAUGAAGGUCUUCUGACCGGAAAACUAUGUUAGUAGGGAAGUACAAAUGUGUAAGUAACUAUGCACGUCUUGACGGUACCUAAUCAGUAAGCCACGGCUAACUACGUG